Molecule: transfer RNA, 67 nt
Filed under: Ictidomys tridecemlineatus (thirteen-lined ground squirrel)
Lineage: Eukaryota; Metazoa; Chordata; Mammalia; Rodentia; Sciuridae
Description: Spermophilus tridecemlineatus (thirteen-lined ground squirrel) tRNA
Rfam family: tRNA
About the family: Transfer RNA (tRNA) molecules are approximately 80 nucleotides in length. Their secondary structure includes four short double-helical elements and three loops (D, anti-codon, and T loops).
Source: Rfam by way of RNAcentral
GGGGUUGUGGCUCAGCGGUAGAGCGCUAGCCUACCAUGCAAGGCCCUGGGUUCGAUCCUCAGCACCA